Molecule: non-coding RNA, 656 nt
Filed under: Rhizopogon vinicolor AM-OR11-026
Lineage: Eukaryota; Fungi; Basidiomycota; Agaricomycetes; Boletales; Rhizopogonaceae
Description: Bacterial large subunit ribosomal RNA
Rfam family: Bacterial large subunit ribosomal RNA
Source: Rfam by way of RNAcentral
GCAAGAUAAAUUUUGAUCUCCAUGAGGUGAUCUUCCGAAGACCAGAUUAUAAUGGAUCGAACGGGUGAAUGUUGCAUAAUUCUCCGAAGAGUUUUCGGAAGCGGUGAAAUGCCAAUCUGACCUAGUGCUAGCUGGUUUUCUACGAAACAUAUGUAAGUAUGACAUCUUUCCGCACAAAAGUGCACAGAUUUAUGGUGGUACAGCACUGAUUUCCAAACGAAAGUUUAGGUUGAGGGGACGUGAAAAUCCUACCUUUGGAAGAGAAUCUCGGAAUGACAUAAAUUGAUAAAAGAUUUUCAGACUGCUAAUGCGAAGUUGGGCAGUCAAGACGGAAACAGCCGAGAACACGAAACAAGGUCCCAAAUGAUUAUUAAGUGAAAAUAAGGAAGUAACAUAUUGAAUUCAGCUGUAAAGUGAGCCUGGUAGUAGCUAUCUUUUAAUGACCGUUUUGUAACAACGUAGCAGCUUUUUAUUUAUAUAAGAAUAUAAAUCUUAGAAUGUGCGCCUAAAAUUUAACGGGUCUAAAUAAUCAACCGAUAUCGUGUUUAUUUAUUAAAAAAUUUUUUAUUUUUUAAUAGAUACAGGUAGUAGAACAUUCAGUAAAACUUAAAAUAAAACAGUGUUUCAUUGUUUUUAGGUAACUGAAGAGAUAAUGC